GUUCGAUUAGCUUAGUGGUUAGAGCAUCUCGUUUACACCGAGAAGGUCACGCGUUCAACUCGCGUAUUGAACA
Bathycoccus prasinos is the source of this 73-nucleotide transfer RNA. It matches the Rfam family "tRNA". Rfam says of the family: Transfer RNA (tRNA) molecules are approximately 80 nucleotides in length. Their secondary structure includes four short double-helical elements and three loops (D, anti-codon, and T loops). Further hydrogen bonds mediate the characteristic L-shaped molecular structure. tRNAs have two regions of fundamental functional importance: the anti-codon, which is responsible for specific mRNA codon recognition, and the 3' end, to which the tRNAs corresponding amino acid is attached (by aminoacyl-tRNA synthetases). tRNAs cope with the degeneracy of the genetic code in two manners: having more than one tRNA (with a specific anti-codon) for a particular amino acid; and 'wobble' base-pairing, i.e. permitting non-standard base-pairing at the 3rd anti-codon position. NCBI's taxonomy places the organism in Eukaryota, Viridiplantae, Chlorophyta, Mamiellophyceae, Mamiellales, Bathycoccaceae. The record is from Rfam.